UGGGGGAUAUUGCACAAUGGGCGAAAGCCUGAUGCAGCGACGCCGCGUGGGGGAUGAAGGCCUUCGGGUUGUAAACUUCUUUUGCUCUGAACAAGGCGCACCAUGGGGUGUGUUGAGUGUAGGGGUUGAUUAGCGCCGGCUAACUACGUGCCAGCAGCCGCGGUAAUACGUAGGGCGCGAGCGUUGUCCGGAAUUAUUGGGCGUAAAGGGCUUGUAGCUGGCUGGUUGCGUCUGUCGUGAAAGCUCAUGGCUUAACUGUGGGUUUGCGGUGGGUACUGGCUGGCUUGAGUGCAGUAGGGGAGGCUGGAAUUCCUGGUGUAGCGGUGGAAUGCGCAGAUAUCAGGAGGAAUACCGGUGGCGAAGGCGGGUCUCUGGGCUGUUACUGACACUGAGGAGCGAAAGCAUGGGGAGCGAACAGG
This 419-nucleotide ribosomal RNA is filed under the name bacterium. Its description in RNAcentral is "partial 16S ribosomal RNA". It matches the Rfam family "Bacterial small subunit ribosomal RNA", at positions 355 to 776 of the family's 1533-position model. The record is from RNAcentral.